CUGUAUUAGGUAAACUAGCCAUUGUGCUUCACAGGAGACAAAGUGAGCUAAAGGCACUUUAACCUUGUGACUCACGCUGCAGAGAUUUGUUACCAUGGUGAUGGGUGUAAUUUGCACGGCGCCGUCGGAUUCCGAUGACAUCACGGCCUGCACUGCCCGCCAUGGUGAGUGGUCCCGGACAGGCUGGCGGGAUUCCACUUGUGGUGAAAGGUUUAAAAGGUGACACAUCUUCUAGACUCAGAAUGAGGAGGUGUUGCAUCAUCAUGUGAGGUUACAGUAGAAGAUGCCAGAAUGUGUUUGGCCACAGCUUGUGUAAUAGGCAUUCUAGUGCAUGAAACAGCAGUAGCACUAGCAGU
Molecule: long non-coding RNA, 356 nt
Organism: Pseudophryne corroboree (corroboree frog)
Lineage: Eukaryota; Metazoa; Chordata; Amphibia; Anura; Myobatrachidae
Exons: 3
Source: RefSeq, a predicted model, not a curated record